UAGGGAAUCUUCGGCAAUGGACGGAAGUCUGACCGAGCAACGCCGCGUGAGUGAAGAAGGUUUUCGGAUCGUAAAGCUCUGUUGUAAGAGAAGAACGAGUGUGAGAGUGGAAAGUUCACACUGUGACGGUAUCUUACCAGAAAGGGACGGCUAACUACGUGCCAGCAGCCGCGGUAAUACGUAGGUCCCGAGCGUUGUCCGGAUUUAUUGGGCGUAAAGCGAGCGCAGGCGGUUAGAUAAGUCUGAAGUUAAAGGCUGUGGCUUAACCAUAGUACGCUUUGGAAACUGUUUAACUUGAGUGCAAGAGGGGAGAGUGGAAUUCCAUGUGUAGCGGUGAAAUGCGUAGAUAUAUGGAGGAACACCGGUGGCGAAAGCGGCUCUCUGGCUUGUAACUGACACUGAGGCUCGAAAGCGUGGGGAGCAAACAGGAUUAGAUACCCUGGUAGUCCACGCCGUAAACGAUGAGUGCUAGGUGUUGGAUCCUUUCCGGGAUUCAGUGCCGCAGCUAACGCAUUAAGCACUCCGCCUGGGGAGUACGACCGCAAGGUUGA
This 551-nucleotide ribosomal RNA is filed under the name uncultured bacterium. RNAcentral describes it as "bacterial SSU rRNA". It matches the Rfam family "Bacterial small subunit ribosomal RNA", at positions 355 to 897 of the family's 1533-position model. The record is from RNAcentral.